RNAcentral lists this ribosomal RNA (207 nucleotides) under uncultured bacterium. Its description in RNAcentral is "partial 16S ribosomal RNA". It matches the Rfam family "Bacterial small subunit ribosomal RNA", at positions 568 to 774 of the family's 1533-position model. The record is from RNAcentral.
AGCGUAGGCGGUUAUGUAAGUCUAAUGUGAAAGUCUGUGGCUUAACCAUAGAAUUGCAUUGGAUACUGUGUAACUGGAGUACGGAAGAGGUAUACGGAAUUACUAGUGUAGCGGUGGAAUGCGUAGAUAUUAGUAGGAAGACCGGAGGCGAAGGCGGUAUACUGGGACGAUACUGACGCUGAGGCUCGAAAGCGUGGGGAGCAAACA